RNAcentral lists this ribosomal RNA (834 nucleotides) under uncultured bacterium. RNAcentral describes it as "bacterial SSU rRNA". It matches the Rfam family "Bacterial small subunit ribosomal RNA", at positions 31 to 775 of the family's 1533-position model. The record is from RNAcentral.
CAACGCUGGCGGCGUGCUUGAUACAUGCAAGUCGAACGGACUGGCAGCUCGUCACUGGUCGCUCGUCGCUCGUGGAAACGGAGUACGAACAAACGUAAGACCAGCCCACGAGAAAAUUGGAGUCGAUGUUUUCGGUCUCCGAGCGACGAGAAACGAGUGACGAGCUGCGAGUUAGUGGCGGACGGGUGAGUAACGCGUGGGUAAUCUGCCCUCAGGUCCGGGAUAACGGCGCGAAAGCGCCGCUAAGACCGGAUGAACUUGCGGGGUGGCAUCAUCCUGCAAGCAAAGGAGACGCCUGGGGAUGAGCCCGCGUCCCAUUAGCUAGUUGGCGGGGUAACGGCCCACCAAGGCGACGAUGGGUAGCCGGACUGAGAGGUUGGCCGGCCACACUGGGACUGAGACACGGCCUAGACUCCUACGGGAGGCAGCAGUAGGGAAUUUUCGGCAAUGGGGGAAACCCUGACCGAGCGACGCCGCGUGAGGGACGAAGGCCUUCGGGUUGUAAACCUCUGUCUAGGGGGACGAUAAUGACGGUACCCCUGGAGGAAGCCACGGCUAACUACGUGCCAGCAGCCGCGGUAAGACGUAGGUGGCGAGCGUUGUCCGGAAUUACUGGGCGUAAAGGGCGUGUAGGCGGNCUUUCAAGUCAGGCGUGAAAUUCCUGGGCUCAACCAGGGACUGCGUUUGANACUGAGGGGCUUGAGGACAGGAAAGGGAANCNGAACUCCCUGUGUAGCGGUGAAAUGCGUANAUAUACGGAANAACCCCANUGGGNAAAGNGGCUUUCCUGGACUGUCCCUGACNCUUAGGNCCCAAANCCAGGGGAACGAACGG